CCGACCCCUAGAAGGACUGCAGGUGUGGCUGCUGUGUCCUAUAUGCGCUAGGUGGUAGACAGGACAGAGGUCAUGUCUAGGCUCAGUGUUCUGACUGAUGAGUAUCUAAAUGAUUAGUAGCCUAAUAUU
Small nucleolar RNA from Grammomys surdaster, 129 nucleotides. RefSeq annotates it as small nucleolar RNA SNORA17. The transcript has a single exon. Lineage: Eukaryota; Metazoa; Chordata; Mammalia; Rodentia; Muridae. The record is from RefSeq and is a predicted model, not a curated record.